UGCUUUUGUAGCAAUACAGAAGUAUCCUAGUGGCGAACGGGUGAGUAACGCGUUGGUGACCUACCCCAAAGUGUGGGAUAACAGUCCGAAAGGAUUGCUAAUACCGCAUGUGGUUUUCGGAUUUAGAAACCGAUUUCUAAAGGAGCAAUUCGCUUUGGGAGGGACCUGCGUCCCAUCAGCUAGUUGGUGAGGUAAUGGCUCACCAAGGCUACGACGGGUAGGGGACCUGAGAGGGUGACCCCCCACAAUGGAACUGAAACACGGUCCAUACACCUACGGGUGGCAGCAGUAGGGAAUAUUGCACAAUGGGCGAAAGCCUGAUGCAGCAACGCCGCGUGUGCGAUGAAGGCCUUCGGGUCGUAAAGCACUUUUCUGAGAGAUGAGCAAGGACAGUAUCUCAGGAAUAAGUCUCGGCUAACUACGUGCCAGCAGCCGCGGUAAAACGUAGGAGGCGAGCGUUAUCCGGAUUCACUGGGCGUAAAGCGCGUGCAGGCGGUUCGGUAAGUUGGGCGUGAAAUCUCCUGGCUUAACUAGGAGAGGUCGUUCAAUACUACCGGGCUAGAGAGUGGUAGAGGAAGAUGGAAUUCCCGGUGUAGUGGUGAAAUGCGUAGAUAUCGGGAGGAACACCAGUGGCGAAAGCGAUCUUCUGGACCAUUUCUGACGCUCAGACGCGAAAGCUAGGGUAGUAAACGGGAUUAGAGACCCCGGUAAUCCUAGCCGUAAACGAUGUAAACUUGGUGUCGGUGGCUUUAACUCUAUCGGUACCGAAGCAAACGCGAUAAGUUUA
RNAcentral lists this ribosomal RNA (787 nucleotides) under uncultured Anaerolineae bacterium. Its description in RNAcentral is "bacterial SSU rRNA". It matches the Rfam family "Bacterial small subunit ribosomal RNA", at positions 69 to 868 of the family's 1533-position model. Lineage: Bacteria; Bacillati; Chloroflexota; Anaerolineae. The record is from RNAcentral.